UGGUAAUUGAGAAACCAGUGCAAUCCAAGGAAUUAACAACUACAACAAUCAGGAGGCAGAGACUUUUUAACCAACAAAUUAAGUUUGAAAAUCUCGAAAAGCAUAAAGACAGGUAAACGAAUAAACAAGCCAAAUGCUGUCAAUGAAAGCAAAGAAAUAUGUGUAACCGCUAGAAUACUCAUUAUUGAUCAGAAAGGAAUAUCUCAUGACUUUUUAGACUACAUCCACACCUUCCAAUUUGCUAAUGAUGACCUUUUUCAAGAUCAAAAUAUCAUUCCAUCAAGAUGAACUAACAACAAUAAUUUAAUGGCACGGUAAUCUGUCA
This 325-nucleotide unclassified non-coding RNA is filed under the name Hevea brasiliensis (rubber tree). The record is from RNAcentral. Lineage: Eukaryota; Viridiplantae; Streptophyta; Magnoliopsida; Malpighiales; Euphorbiaceae.